Molecule: ribosomal RNA, 483 nt
Filed under: uncultured bacterium
Lineage: Bacteria
Description: partial 16S ribosomal RNA
Rfam family: Bacterial small subunit ribosomal RNA
Source: RNAcentral
GAUUAACGCUCGCGGCAGGCAUAAUACAUGCAAGUUGAACGGCAGCACAGGUAGCACUCCUGGGUGGCGAGUGGCGCACGGGUGCGUAACACGUAUGCAACCUACCCUAUACAGGCGAAUAGCCUCUAGAAAUGAGGGCUAAUACGCCGUAGUAUUACAGAUGGGCAUCUAUUUGUAAUUAAAUAUUUAUCGGUAUAGGAUGGGCAUGCGUACCAUUAGUUAGUGGGUAAGGUAACGGCUACCAAGGCGAUGAUGGGUAGGGGCUCGGAGAGGACGUACCCCCGGACUGGUACUGAGGCACAGACCAGACUGCUACGGGAGGCAGCAGUAAGGUAGAUUGGGCGAGGGAGGCGAGGCUGACCCAGCCAUGCCGGGUGCAGGAAGACGGCGUUAUGGGUUGUAAACUGCUUUUAUACGGGAAUAAUAGGGUGUACGCGUACAUUUAUGCAAGUAGCGGAUGAAUAAGCACCGGCUAACUCCGUG